This is a transfer RNA of Chlorella variabilis, 72 nucleotides long. It matches the Rfam family "tRNA". From Rfam's summary of the family: Transfer RNA (tRNA) molecules are approximately 80 nucleotides in length. Their secondary structure includes four short double-helical elements and three loops (D, anti-codon, and T loops). The record is from Rfam. Lineage: Eukaryota; Viridiplantae; Chlorophyta; Trebouxiophyceae; Chlorellales; Chlorellaceae.
GUCGAAUUAGUAUAGUGGUUAGUAUCCCUGCCUGUCACGCAGGAGGCCGGGGUUCGAUUCCCCGAUUCGGCG